UGGUUUUCAUGAUGUAGUUUUUGUUUAAUUCAGUAUGAGAGGGUUUGAUAUGACUGUGGGUGAGAUAUACUGCUUUAGUGAUGAGAAUUAGAGAGGAAGAUUGAUCUCAUUUUUGUGUGUUUGGGUCGUAUGAAGCUACAAUCAGGUUUAUCUAUAUUUUUGAACAACAUAAGGGAUAUUCUGGCAUAAAAUUAAUUUAGGGUCAAACACAUCGUAACACAGAGUUAGACACCCCCUUGACAGAUGAAUGUUGCCGACCGCUUGCUUCUCUAGUUAUACCAACUUUAGUAACGACCGCACGAUAGCAAUACACAGCAGUCUGAGGAGCCAUACACAAACCUCAACCAAAACACCACUCUAUAGUGAUAGUCUAUACUCUUCUGUGCAACGUCUUCGCAGGUAUGCGGGUGCAGCCUUGAGGCAGAAAGCGGGACAUUUCUUAUUUGUUUAGUAGCGGAGUCAACAGAAAAAAAAAAAAUGACAAGGAGUUGUGCUGUUAACUGCAUGAAUCGGCAAAACAAACAACUGGCAAACAUUACAACCCCGCUCCUGAUAUUAGAAACAUCUAAAACAACGUCACAACCUGGUAAACUGAGUGAAAUUCAUGGAUAUUUCAGCUAUUUCAAGUGUUUUUCUGAUUUUGAUACAAUUAAAGACUACGACGGAGAAUGAGGGCCAUAUAAAGGAAAGGAAAAAUUUGAGACCUCGGAAUUACUUACGAGAAUAAAGUCGUAAUAAAAUCAUUUCUUACGAGAAUAAAGUUGUAAUAAAAUCAUUUCUUACGAGAAUAAAGUUGUAAUAAAAUCUUUUUUACGAGAACAAAGUCGUAAUAAAAUCAUUACUUAAUCAUUUUCUUGAAGUAAUAAUUAUCAUAUAAAUCAUUUUGCACUGCAGACGCGGUAGUUCUUCUACCUUAUCAUCUCGGUCUGAUUGCAUUUCCAUGAAGAAAUGAUCAUAAAUGUUCUUCCAUGGACUGGCCCGAGGUCUCGCUACAAACAAGCGGAAGAGAGUAGGUGAGUUGUGUUUAGUCUCUUUGAUAAAGAAAUCAGGCAAAGUUAAAAAGAUGUUUGGUGGCUAGUACUGUGGCUGUGACCCUAUAUGUACUGUUGAUGAAGUUAGGUGCUGUUCUGAGCAUUAUUUAAGGCUAUAGAAUGGCUUUUGGUUUUUGGUUGAGGUUUGUUGACGGCCCCUCAGACCACUGUGUAUCACUACCCUGCGGUUGUUACUGAAAUUGGCAACAUUCAUUUCUUGAGGGGGUGUCUAACUCGAUGUUACGGUGUGUUUGACCCUAAAUUAAUUUUAUUCCGGAAUAUCCCUUUAAUGUGUCAACCCAAUGGACUUAAAGCUGUUUCAGUCACUAUUUAAAUUAAAAACUUCAUCUCAACACUUUGAGGACUUCUUCUUGUGUAAAUAAUUCUUCUGGGAUUAUAAAAAAGAUCAUUUGAGCCUUCUGUUUUUGUCAGACUCCUUUUUCCGUGGACUCCGAUGAACUUUAAUGACAAAUUAAUGACGAUUUUUAGGUCACAUUUCAUUGAAUUAUUCAUUUGCCCAUAUGCUCUGCCAAAGGCAACAGUGUGAUGCCAUUUAGAUGAAUUUUAAACACCCCAUCUUUUUGGGGUUUCUUUGUUAAUGAUUUGCAUUUUUCUGUUUUUCUGUUUCUGUUUUUUUAAGGAGGUAACUUUAAGGACACAUGCUUGAGCGUAUGAGCCACAUUUCUCUACCAAAGCGGCCGUAAAAAACGGGAUUUCUGUAAUGGCAGACUACCAGAACCCCACAUGAUCAUUUUCUGUGACUGCUGAGGCCGUAAAUUUGUCACUUCUGUGUUCUGUUAGUUUACUCUACAAUCCAAACUCUGCGUUUCAGCGUGAUGGGAUCGCUCCUUUAAUUAGGGUUACUCAGACCACUUUUGCACUUCUCAUACCCUGCCUGCGGUGAAUGUCCCCUCCUGUUGAGCUAUUCCAUCUUCACCUCCUCUUGUCAUUACGAGCAGACGACCUCGGCGGUGUCACAACUCGUCUCCUCCUCAUACUUUCAAAGUGGUUUUGGUGUGUCUUUCACACUUAAUCCUGCGCCCUGUGAAGAAACACUCCCGGCUCUGAUUUGUCUCUGCUGAAUCAACACUGUGAUGUCGCCUCCCUGAGCCUGUACGUUUUGUUUUUUCAGCUGUGACAGAGCUAUGUGUACCAUCAGAGUGAUGACCCUUAGAGAUAUGACAGCGUCAGAGUAUGAUGGGCUCACAUGUUUUCACGGUGAGCAAAUGUAGGACACACUCACAAACAUGAAAAAAAAAUGGCUGCCACCCUUGAUUCCUCUCUGGUAUGUCCUCGAGGACACGCCGAAGAGUCUCAAGGUGAAGUGGGGCAGAAACUCCAAACAAGACUGUGUCUGUCUGACUGUGAAAACAGAUUAAAAUGAUUCUGACCACUGGAGCGGGAAUGUGUUGAACCUUGAGCCUCGAUGGGGGGAAACCCGAGGGCUCUUCACACCCAAGCAAAAACCCCCAAAGCGCCCCCUCACACUGAAGAGAGCAUAAAAGGACUGGGAUCAUAAUUAACUGUCUUUGGCCACAGCAACAGUCUCAAUAUUAUUACUUUAUAGAAGUGAGAUUCAUCCUCAAGGGACCAUGACUGUUUUUUUUUUUUGUACUAGCUUAACAAUGUUUGCUGCUAUGACAAUUCUAAAAAUGAGAUAAAAUCUGAUUAUUAAAAAAGGUUGCCCCCUCUGGGCUUCUGUACAUGAACAUAUAUAUGCAGUUUAACAUCCGGAUCAGUGAGAUGGACUUCUACCAUAACUAAACAUCAAAUUUCUUUCAUCAAAUCCAGUGAAAAUAUCAAACACUCAGGUUUGUGUUAAAUUGUGUUUUAGCGUAAUACUGUAAUUAUCAGGGCCAUCAGA
This is a non-coding RNA of Xyrichtys novacula (pearly razorfish), 2895 nucleotides long. The record is from the annotation of a GenBank genome assembly. NCBI's taxonomy places the organism in Eukaryota, Metazoa, Chordata, Actinopteri, Labriformes, Labridae.